RNAcentral lists this ribosomal RNA (1256 nucleotides) under uncultured bacterium. Its description in RNAcentral is "bacterial SSU rRNA". It matches the Rfam family "Bacterial small subunit ribosomal RNA", at positions 30 to 1254 of the family's 1533-position model. The record is from RNAcentral.
UGAACGCUGGCGGCACGCUUUACACACGCAAGUUCGGAACGGCAGCACAGAGAAGCUUGCCUUUCUUCGGGCGGCGAGCGGCGAACGGGCGAGUAACAUAUCGGAAACGUACCGAGCAGCGGGGGAUAACUAAUCGAAAGAUUAGCUAAUACCGCAUAUUUUCUGAGGAAGAAAAGCAGGGGACCAUUUCGGCCUCGCGCUGUUUGAGCGGCCGAUAUCUGAUUAGCUAGUUGGUGGGGUAAAGGCCUACCAAGGCGACGAUUCAGUAGCGGGUCUGAGAGGAUGAUUCCGCCACACUGGGACUGAGACACGGCCCAGACUCCUACGGGAGGCAGCAGUGGGGAAUUUUGGACAAUGGGCGCAAGCCUGAUUCCAGCCAUGCCGCGUGUCUGAAGAAGGCCUUCGGGUUGUAAAGGACUUUUGUCAGGGAAGAAAAGGGCGGGGUUAAUACCCCUGUCUGAUGACGGUACCUGAAGAAUAAGCACCGGCUAACUACGUGCCAGCAGCCGCGGUAAUACGUAGGGUGCGAGCGUUAAUCGGAAUUACUGGGCGUAAAGCGGGCGCAGACGGUUACUUAAGCAGGAUGUGAAAUCCCCGGGCUCAACCUGGGAACUGCGUUCUGAACUGGGUGACUAGAGUGUGUCAGAGGGAGGUAGAAUUCCACGUGUAGCAGGAAAAUGCGUAGAGAUGUGGAGGAAUACCGAUGGCGAAGGCAGCCUCCUGGGAUAACACUGACGUUCAUGCCCGAAAGCGUGGGUAGCAAACAGGAUUAGAUACCCUGGUAGUCCACGCCCUAAACGAUGUCGAUUAGCUGUUGGGCAGCAUGACUGCUUAGUAGCGAAGCUAACGCGUGAAAAUCGACCGCCUGGGGAGUACGGUCGCAAGAUUAAAAACUCAAAAGGAAAUUGACGGGGACCCGCACAAGCGGUGGAUGAUGUGGAUUAAAUUCGAUGCAAACGCGAAGAACCUUACCUGGUCUUGACAUGUACGGAAACCCUCCAGAGACGGAGGGGUGCCUUCGGGAGCCGUAACACAGGUGCUGCAUGGCUGUCGUCAGCUCGUGUCGUGAGAUGUUGGGUUAAAGUCCCGCAACGAGCGCGAACCCUUGUCAUUAGUUGCCAUCAUUAAGUUGGGCACUCUAAUGAGACUGCCGGUGACGAAGCCGGAGGAAGGUGGGGAUGACGUCGAAGUCCUCAUGGCCCUUAUGACCAGGGCUUCACGACGUCAUACGAUGGUCGGUACAGAGGGUAGCCGAA